GGAUGAAGAACGUAGCGAAAUGCGAUACUUGGUGUGAAUUGCAGGAUCCCGUGAACCACCGAGUCUUUGAACGCAAGUUGCGCCCGGAGCCUUCUGGCCGAGGGCACGUCUGCCUGGGCGUCACGCAUCGUUGUCCCCACCCACACAACUCCCCCGCCCACCGUGCGGGCUCGUUGUGCGGGCGAGGGCACACACUGGCCUACCGUGCGCACCGUCGUGCGGAUGGCUUAAAUUCGAGUCCUCGACGCUCGUCGUCGCGACACUACGGUGGUUGAUCCAACCUCGGUGACGCGUCUCGGCCUCGACGUCGCCUCCACGGACUCCUGCAUGACCCUCCGAACGUCGCCCCCGCAAAGGGACGACACUCUCGACGCGACCCCAGGUCAGGCGGGACUACCCGCUGAGUUUAAGCAUAUCAAUAAGCGGAGGA
This 430-nucleotide unclassified non-coding RNA is filed under the name soil metagenome. RNAcentral describes it as "partial contains 5.8S ribosomal RNA, internal transcribed spacer 2, and large subunit ribosomal RNA". The stretch from base 2 to 123 matches the Rfam family "5.8S ribosomal RNA", at positions 35 to 154 of the family's 154-position model. The record is from RNAcentral.